AGUGGAAAAUUUUGUUUUAAUUUUUGGUUUUUAACUCUGGAAAUUCUGGUAAGUUUAAAUUUUGUUAAAUUCUAUCACAUUUAUUUUUGUUUUUGUUAAAGAGAAUCCCCACUUUUGCUCCCACGUUCCCACUCCAUUCACGUCAGUUUUAUUUUAUUUGUUUUCCCCAAAUUCAGAUUUUAGUUUUUCUUUUCGCUACUGUAUGUUUUUUUUGGGGGGUCAUUUCUUUCUCUUUUUCUUUUCACUUUGUCUUUUUGGGGUCUUUGGUUCUUCUUUUCGUUCCGCUGUUGACAUAUCAUCCGUUCCUUUACAAUUAUCGUUCAUCAAGGUUUUAUCAGUGUGGUUGGGAUAUGAAUGUGAAGAGAAGGAUGUUGGAUUUGGCAGUUAAAUUGUAUUAUUAUUAUAUUUUAGCAGUAAAACCGUAUUUAUGUUAGCAGUUUGACUGCAUAAUAAUAUCGAGACAAUGAACUUUUCGUGGUGUGAAUUGGAUGGAUAGGUCUACCAUUACUCAAUGUGGUGUGUAGAGGUCGGAAAAGGUUUAGUAUAGGUCUACCAUUACUCAAUGUGGUGUGUAGAGGUCGGAAAAGGUUUAGUAUACCCUUAUUAGUGUGUGUGCAGAAUAUAAAAAGAUGGUGAGUAAAGGCUAGUUAGGUGGGGUUUUGGGCCAUUUUGCGCAUGACUAAAAUUUGUAUGUUUGAUACAGUUAAGGCAUUUUUGGUGCUCUCCUCUGACAUGAUAUUCGAUGUGACUAUAAAAUAAUAA
Molecule: long non-coding RNA, 762 nt
Organism: Gossypium arboreum
Lineage: Eukaryota; Viridiplantae; Streptophyta; Magnoliopsida; Malvales; Malvaceae
Exons: 2
Source: RefSeq, a predicted model, not a curated record